This 191-nucleotide small nucleolar RNA is filed under the name Naumovozyma dairenensis CBS 421. RNAcentral describes it as "Small nucleolar RNA snR35". It matches the Rfam family "Small nucleolar RNA snR35". Lineage: Eukaryota; Fungi; Ascomycota; Saccharomycetes; Saccharomycetales; Saccharomycetaceae. The record is from Rfam by way of RNAcentral.
UUGAUUAAUUAAUCGUGCGGAUUAAUAAUCCAGGACUCUAAAACCGUGUUGCUUGAAUUAAUUUACAAUUUAGUUCCCAAGCGUCAAGUCCAUCGGAGAGAAAAAAUUAGACAUAGUUCAUCUUAGUGCCCUUUUGUGUAUUUUGCUUUUAAUUAUAACAAGUUAUGCAAGGGCUGGUAGGACUAAUAUAU